This 379-nucleotide transfer RNA is filed under the name Robbsia andropogonis. Its description in RNAcentral is "partial 16S-23S ribosomal RNA intergenic spacer". The stretch from base 94 to 167 matches the Rfam family "tRNA". Lineage: Bacteria; Pseudomonadati; Pseudomonadota; Betaproteobacteria; Burkholderiales; Burkholderiaceae. The record is from RNAcentral.
UUGCGGCUGGAUCAUUCCUUUCUGGAAAUGCGCAUUCAAGUUCAACGCGCCCACGCUUAUCGGCUGUAUGAGUGGACACAACAGUGCCUGCGAGGGUCUGUAGCUCAGUCGGUUAGAGCACCGUCUUGAUAAGGCGGGGGUCGUUGGUUCGAAUCCAACCAGACCCACCAUCGCCGCCAAGGGGGAUUAGCUCAGCUGGGAGAGCACCUGCUUUGCAAGCAGGGGGUCGUCGGUUCGAUCCCGUCAUCCUCCACCACCUCAGGCACCGAUCGUUCACGCCAGGCUUUGAAAAUCGAAGUCUGGCGUGAGCGAUUCGUAAGAAUGGCUGUUGUUCUUUAACAAUUCGUAGAGUCCAAUCCGCGUUGUCGGCGGAAAGCCC